Molecule: antisense RNA, 167 nt
Filed under: Phocaeicola dorei
Lineage: Bacteria; Pseudomonadati; Bacteroidota; Bacteroidia; Bacteroidales; Bacteroidaceae
Description: sok antitoxin (CssrC)
Rfam family: sok antitoxin (CssrC)
About the family: Also identified in Shigella as CssrC.
Source: RNAcentral
GGCGCUUGAGGCUUUCUGCCUCAUGGCGAAAAGGUGGUUUGUAUCUUGUUGUGCGGCAGAAAGAAGAAAGCCCCGUAGUUAAUUUUUCAUUAACCCACGAGGCGAUCCCAAUGCUUGAACAACAUCAGGAUAGCCUCUUACCGCGCGUUACGCAAGGAGAAGAAGGC